Molecule: long non-coding RNA, 1171 nt
Filed under: Oryza brachyantha (malo sina)
Lineage: Eukaryota; Viridiplantae; Streptophyta; Magnoliopsida; Poales; Poaceae
Description: long non-coding RNA (OBRA_LNC003334)
Source: RNAcentral
GGCCCCCGCCGCGCCCGGGCUGGACCGCAGCGCCGCCUCGCAGAACCCGACCUCCACGAAGUCGCGGAUGGCGUUGCACGAGUCGGCCACCGUGUCCGCCACCGCCUUCCCGCCGCCGGCCGACGCGACGGCGAGGAGCGCGAGCAGUAGGGUGGCACGCAGUGAGGAGGACCCCAUCGCCAUUGAUGGCUUCAAAUCAAGCUGCCUGCUCUGCUCAAGCUUCUUUCUUGCUGCAUGUCGUCUUCUACUCGUGUUAAUUUCUCCAUCUUCUUCUCCUUGUUUCUGCAGGUAGAGUUAGGUGAGCUAAUCAAUGGCUGCAUGCGAUGCAUGAUGGGGUCAUCAGUUUUACAUGCAUUCACUUUCGCCGCUUUGGAGGUAGACAUUACAUGGUGCUCACCUGCCAACCCUAUACACUGACCAAUGUCCAAUGACACUGUCCCAUGAAAGAUCGCUAUAGCUUGUAGCACUACGGAUCAUCAGAUUGAGAAGACAUUAUUAUCGAUUAGGUUAGUCUCAAUACAUGUUUUACGUGGUGUCAUGCCACAUUAAAUAGGGUGUUAUAUUAGUAAAAUAUUGACUUAGCAGGGUCAUUGAAUGAGGAAGUUUUAUGAGAUGAGAGAGAAGUUUCAUCCCUAUAAAACUUAUCUGGCUCGGUUAUCUAAUUUAAUAACUAUGUCAUAAAACUAUGUAUUGAGAUCUAUCACAACAGUUGCUGUGAGAAGAUCCUUGCUUGUGAGUAGUAAUAUUUUUUUUUGUGUGUGUGCGCAUUGAAUUGGCAUUGAAUUGGGUCUCAAACUGUCAAUAACUUUAGCCGUGGAGGUGGUUGGUUGGCUGGCUGGCUGGCAAGCUCGAAUCCAUCCAUCAACCAUGGAUGCAUUCAUGGUGUAGUACUCCUUCUGGCUCAAUACUGUCAAAACCACCCUGCGCCAUUGAUUGCUUAGGUGUGUGGCAUUGAAGAAGACACAGUGGUUAAUCUGCCAUUGACAGAGUGCAGCGAGCGAGGUAGCUGAGCUAGAAAGAAAUAUAGCGAGAGACCGUGAGCUCGCCAGCCAUGGUAAGUGCGUUGCGUUCUCACGUCUCGCUCAUAAAAGGUGCGAGCUUUGGCGAGAAAACGGAGGAAGGUGAGAGAGGCAGCAGGGCGGCAGAGGGAGGCUGGAGCGAGCUCGCCGCN